AGAGAAGGAUCAUGGCUCAGAAUCAACGCUGGCGGCGUGCCUCAGACAUGCAAGUCGAACGAUUAAAGAAAGUUCGGAGGGUGUAUAAAGUGGCGCACGGGUGAGUAACACGUAAGUAAUCUACCCUCGGGUGGGGAAUAACAACCGGAAACGGUUGCUAAUACCGCAUAAUGCAGCGGCUCCUUAUGGAGACAGUUGUUAAAGGAUUUAUUCGCCUGAGGAGGAGCUUGCGGCAAAUUAGCUAGUUGGUAAGGUAAUGGCUUACCAAGGCUACGAUCUGUAGCCGGUCUAAGAGGACGGUCGGUCACACUGACACUGAAUAACGGGUCAGACUCCUACGGGAGGCAGCAGUCGGGAAUUUUGGGCAAGGGGCGAAAGCCUGACCCAGCAACGCCGCGUGAAGGAUGAAGUAUUUCGGUAUGUAAACUUCGAAAGAAUAGGAAGAAUUAAUGACGGUACUAUUUAUAAGGUCCGGCUAACUACGUGCCAGCAGCCGCGGUAAUACGUAGGGACCAAGCGUUGUUCGGAUUUACUGGGCGUAAAGGGCGCGUAGGCGGCAUGACAAGUCACUUGUGAAAUCUCUGGGCUUAACUCAGAACGGCCAAGUGAUACUGUCGCGCUAGAGUGCAGAAAGGGCAAUCGGAAUUCUUGGUGUAGCGGUGGAAUGCGUAGAUAUCAAGAGGAACACCUGAGGCGAAGGCGGGUUGCUAGGCUGACACUGACGCUGAGGCGCGAAAGCCAGGGAG
This 746-nucleotide ribosomal RNA is filed under the name uncultured Acidobacteriota bacterium. RNAcentral's name for it is "bacterial SSU rRNA". It matches the Rfam family "Bacterial small subunit ribosomal RNA", at positions 8 to 767 of the family's 1533-position model. Lineage: Bacteria; Pseudomonadati; Acidobacteriota. The record is from RNAcentral.